Molecule: unclassified non-coding RNA, 384 nt
Filed under: uncultured bacterium
Lineage: Bacteria
Description: contains 16S-23S intergenic spacer region
Source: RNAcentral
UCCGGUUUAACACCGGCAGUCUCGCUAGAGUCCCCGACAUGACUCGCUGGCAACUAGCGACAAGGGUUUCGCUCGUUAAAGGACUUAACCCGACAUCUCACGACACGAGCUGACGACAGCCAUGCAGCACCUGUGCACGUUCCACCCGAAGGCGUGGCCCGGCUUUCACCGGGUUAAUCCGUGCAUGUCAAGACUAGGAUAAGGUUUUUCGCGUAGCCUCGAAUUAAGCCACAUCCUCCACCGCUUGUGAGAGCCCCCGUCAAUUCCUUUGAGUUUCAGCCUUGCGGCCGUACUCCCCAGGCGGGGCACUUAAUGCGUUAGCUCCGACACCGAAUGCGUCUAUACACCCGGCAUCUAGUGCCCAUCGUUUACGGCGUGGACUAC